This is a long non-coding RNA of Mercurialis annua (annual mercury), 1510 nucleotides long. RefSeq lists it as uncharacterized. The record is from RefSeq and is a predicted model, not a curated record. The transcript is spliced from 4 exons. NCBI's taxonomy places the organism in Eukaryota, Viridiplantae, Streptophyta, Magnoliopsida, Malpighiales, Euphorbiaceae.
GUUUUUCUUAGCUAUCCUCAGUUGAAAUUAUGGUAAGAUUACCCUUGGGUAGGAGUUUGCUUAAACUUUUGAGAUUGCGGUGAUGUUUUGCUUAGACUGAAUUAAACAAUUUUUAUUUUGUUAUCCGUAGAGUUGUCCCUCGGUCGUGAGUAAUCUUAGAUAUCACAAAUUGUGGUACGUAUAUCUCUUUCGUUCCGUCGAGGAUACGUUCUUCGUAUUUUGAGUUAUGUGUGAGUUUUACGUAUUGGUAAUUGAGUUUUUAUUACUGGGCUUUUUGAUAAAUUCGAGGACGAAUUUUUAAUAAGUUGGGGAUAAUGUAAAACCCCAUAAAAUUUUAAAAUUUAUUUUUGCGAGUUUCAGUAAUAUUUUGAGUCAUUUACGUAUUUGAAAUUCGUUGGGUGGUUCGAUUUGUGGCUUGGUUCGUGGCUCGGUUCGGUCUUUGGUUCUCUAGGUUUGUGGUACAUGCGGAAAAUCUCAGGUCUCAAUCGAGACCUGAAAUUUUCACGUAAAGUCUCGUUCGAGACCUUCAGUCUCGAACGAGACUUCUUCAAUUUGUUGUUGGUCUCGUUCGAGACCAGCAUUUUGGUUCACAGGGGUCCAUUUUUUCCUUCGUUUUAUAACCUAACUAACUCCUAUAAAUCCGUAACUUUUCAAUCCUAAUCUAUUCACCACACGGCACACUAAACCCUAGCUGCCAAUUCUUGCUGAUCCUUUGAGGAAUCGCUGCCCUUAUUUUCCUCCCAAAGUUUCCAAAAUUUUUGGUAAGUUUGUUCUUAAAUUUUCAGAUUUAGCUUUAAAGCGAUACCUCCGUAAUUUGGAUCGUUCUCCUUCGUUUCUGAAGCAAAUUCAGUUCCGCUUCGUCGCUGAGAAAGUAGACUCAUUCCUCUACAACUUUGCCUUUCGAAUUUUGUCAAACGCCGUUUGGAGAUCGAAAUCCGUUCCGUUCAUUCCCCGUGAUAGUAGGCUCGCUCCUCUACGAUUCUACACUUUUCUUUUGUCAAACGGUACGUAAACGCACCCGUAUCAAUCGCCGUCGUUUCAUCGUUUUGCGGUAGCUUAAGUUUCUACUUGCUCUGUUUAUUGUCAUAGGCUAAGUGUUGAUUCCUGGGUGUGAUUCUUAUUACGUUAGGCUAUUAUCUUACGUCCGAAUGAAGUCGUUUCAUCUCUGAAAUUCUUCAAAACUUCAUUGAUUCUCAGAGACCCGUCGACUGCUCGUGCUUCGGAGUCUACGCAGGGUUAGCUGUUUGCCAAGAUCACGUGGAUAAGCAAGCAGUUUAUUAUUUUGAGCGAGUCUGCAGAUCUCCGAAUCUUUAUUCCUCGGAGGUUUAUUUUCUUUUUAAUAAAUUGUCAAACUACUUUUAUUCUUAGACCGCAGUAGUAAAUUAGAAGUCUAUAUUAUUCUAGUCUGUUUGUCGGAUUUGUCUGACUGGCUUUCUUUUAUGCUUUGGCAUUAAUAUUGUUUAACUCUGGUUAUAUUUAUUUAAUGGAAGUACUUAUAUUUAAACUGUUA